CUCGAACACGAUACAGUAUUCCGUCUCUGAAGAAGUGGGGCUGACUCCCACGAAACGGGUCAUACUAAACAAGCAGGUUACAGAUUCCACCUAUGUUCCAGCCAGUGGAGUAACAACUUGACCACGAAACCUCUACAGUCCCGGACCGGGAGGUCUGCAAUAUUCACCUCUCAGAGCGAGGUCUGAGACGCACGCCGUCUUUACCGGCAGCUGGAAAGAGGAAAGUGUUUACACCAUCCGCAGCCAUCCAAACCGGUCCUUGAGGCUGACUCCUAUCACUCACAUCCACUGUGCUGGUAAC
This is a non-coding RNA of Pelobates cultripes (western spadefoot toad), 301 nucleotides long. NCBI's taxonomy places the organism in Eukaryota, Metazoa, Chordata, Amphibia, Anura, Pelobatidae. The record is from the annotation of a GenBank genome assembly.